UGUUUUGAUUAUCCAAAAGAGUGGCCGGACCUCUUUUCUAUUUUGGGCCAACAGCUUCAGUCAGCGGAUACUCUUACUUCACACAGAAUUUUUAUGAUAAUCUUCCGAACUCUAAAGGAGUUGUCAACUAAACGGCUUACAUCGGACCAAAAAAACUUUGCCGAGAUAUCCUCCCGUUUCUUUGAUUAUUGCUGGCACCUAUGGCAGAGUGAUGUAAAGACUAUAUUGUCUGGUUUCUCGGCACUUUCUCAAACUUCUGAGCAGCAAAAUGAUGAACUAUAUUUGACGUGUGAGCGAUGGUUGUUGUGUCUCAAAAUCAUAAGACAGCUAAUAAUUUCA
This is a long non-coding RNA of Eucalyptus grandis, 339 nucleotides long. RefSeq lists it as uncharacterized. The record is from RefSeq and is a predicted model, not a curated record. Lineage: Eukaryota; Viridiplantae; Streptophyta; Magnoliopsida; Myrtales; Myrtaceae. The transcript is spliced from 3 exons.